This 104-nucleotide small RNA is filed under the name Salmonella enterica. RNAcentral describes it as "partial RtT sRNA". It matches the Rfam family "RtT RNA", at positions 1 to 100 of the family's 130-position model. Rfam says of the family: This family represents a bacterial cis-regulatory element known as RtT RNA. The exact function of RtT is unknown although it is thought that it may be involved in changing the cellular response in relation to amino acid starvation. Lineage: Bacteria; Pseudomonadati; Pseudomonadota; Gammaproteobacteria; Enterobacterales; Enterobacteriaceae. RNAcentral also lists the same sequence under 1 other name. The record is from RNAcentral.
UGCAUCUGAAGCCUGACGAGGAUGAGAACCUCCGGGGGCAAGAGGUUCGACUCGAGCGCAGCGAGAGAACGUUGCGUCAGCAACGGCCCGCAGGGCGAGCCACG